AUUGAACGCUGGCGGCACGCCUAACACAUGCAAGUCGAGCGGCAGCGAGAUCAGUAGCAAUACUGAUUGUCGGCGAGCGGCGGACGGGUGAGUAACACGUAGGAACCUGCCCAGAAGUGGGGGAUAACUAAUGGAAACGUUAGCUAAUACCGCAUACAUUCGGGAGAAGAAAGCUGCAGCAAUGUAGCGCUUUUGGAGGGGCCUGCGUCCGAGUAGAUAGUUGGUGAGGUAAUAGCGUACCAAGGCGAUGAUCGGUAACUGGUCUGAGAGGACGACCAGUCACACUGGGACUGAGACACGGCCCAGACUCCUACGGGAGGCAGCAGUGGGGAAUCUUGGACAAUGGGGGCAACCCUGAUCCAGCGAUGCCGCGUGAGUGAAGAAGGCCCUCGGGUCGUAAAGCUCUUUAGGCUGGGAAGAAGGGUAGUUGAGGAAAUGCAGCUACUUUGACUGUACCAGCAGAAUAAGCACCGGCAAACUCUGUGCCAGCAGCCGCCGUAA
RNAcentral lists this ribosomal RNA (501 nucleotides) under uncultured bacterium. RNAcentral's name for it is "partial 16S ribosomal RNA". It matches the Rfam family "Bacterial small subunit ribosomal RNA", at positions 29 to 523 of the family's 1533-position model. The record is from RNAcentral.